This 1358-nucleotide ribosomal RNA is filed under the name metagenome. RNAcentral describes it as "bacterial SSU rRNA". It matches the Rfam family "Bacterial small subunit ribosomal RNA", at positions 133 to 1498 of the family's 1533-position model. The record is from RNAcentral.
GUCCGCAAGGAUACUACCGAAAGGGGCAUUAAUACCGAAUGAUGUGGUCUGUCGUAUGGCGGAUUACCAAAGAUUUAUCGGUGCAAGAGCGGCCUAUCUCCUAUCAGUUAGUUGGUGAGGUAACGGCCCACCAAGACUAUGACGGGUAGCGGGACUGAGAGGUUGGCCCGCCACAUCGGAACUGAGAUACUGUCCGGACCUCCACGGAGGGCUGCAGUAACGAAUAUUGGGCAAUGGGCGAAAGCCUGACCCAGCGACGCCGCGUGCGGGAGGAAGUCCCUCGGGAUGUAAACUCUGUCAGGGAGAAGAAAGUCCGCAAGGAUUGAUCUAUCCCAGAGGAAGCAACGGCUAACUUCGUGCCAGCAGCCGCGGUAAGACGAAGGUUGCGAGCGUUGCUCGGAAUCACUGGGCUUAAAGCGCAUGUAGGCGGAUGAGUAAGCGUUUUGUGAAAUCCCCCGGCUUAACCGGGGAAUUGCUUGGCGAACUGCUCAUCUUGAGGCAAGUAGGGGUGCAUGGAACUCUUGGUGGAGCGGUGGAAUGCGUAGAUAUCAAGAGGAACGCCAGCGGAGAAAUCGGUGCACUGGACUUGUCCUGACGCUCAGAUGCGAAAGCGUGGGGAGCGAACGGGAUUAGAUACCCCGGUAGUCCACGCCCUAAACGAUGCCUACUAGGUUGUAGAACCUCUGACGGUUUUACGGCCGAAGCAAAAGUGUUAAGUAGGCCGCCUGGGAAGUACGGUCGCAAGGCUAAAACUCAAAGGAAUUGACGGGGGCUCACACGAGCGGUGGAGUAUGAGGAUUAAUUCGAAGCAACGCGCAGAACCUUACCUGGGUUUGACAUGGUUGGAUGGCUUACUGGAAACAGUGUAGUCUGCCCGCAAGGGUGAAACUUCCACAGGUGCUGCAUGGCUGUCGUCAGCUCGUGUCGUGAGAUGUCGGGUUAAGUCCCUUAACGAGCGAAACCCUUGUCAUUAGUUACCAUCAGUUCAGCUGGGGACUCUAAUGAGACUGCCGGUGUUAAACCGGAGGAAGGUGGGGAUGACGUCAAGUCCUCAUGGCCUUUAUGCCCAGGGCCUCACACGUACUACAAUGGCGGCUACAAAGCGAUGCAAGACCGCAAGGUGGAGCAAAUCGCAGAAAGGUCGCCCCAGUUCAGAUCGCAGGCUGCAAUUCGCCUGCAUUAAGUUGGAAUCGCUAGUAAUCGCGGAUCAGCUACGCCGCGGUGAAUGUGUUCCUGAGCCUUGUACACACCGCCCGUCAAGUCAUGGGAGCCGGGAGUACCCGAAGUCGGGUUGCUAACCGCAAGGACGCGCCUGCCGACGGUAAGCUCGGUGACUGGGACUAAGUCGUAACAAGGUA